Seriola aureovittata is the source of this 379-nucleotide long non-coding RNA. RefSeq lists it as uncharacterized. The record is from RefSeq and is a predicted model, not a curated record. Lineage: Eukaryota; Metazoa; Chordata; Actinopteri; Carangiformes; Carangidae. The transcript has 3 exons.
UAGACAGCAUGAAGCCUUUCUUCCUCGCUUGUCUGUCUGUACGGACCCUGAUGACAGUGAAGUCUGGAGGCAGUGUUUUUGAACAUCUUUCAGCCUGGCCACUCUCUUAAGGGAGUCCUCUGACUUGAAGAGUGCACACAGGUGAACCAUCCCAUCUCCUGUUGACACACAUCUCCCCAGAGGACGGUCCAUCCUCGCAGAGCUCGAUGUCCUCCUCUCUCUUAGCUUAAAACUGCCCCUCCACACCCUCGCCCACAUCAGCCUUUUUACAGCCUCCGUCACCGCGCAGUGCACUUUGCCUUUAAAGCCGAGAAUCUGCCUCAGACUGCCGCUCCACCCAGCGCUGCCAUCUCCCAGCCAGGGAGUCUGUGAGAGCAUG